This 274-nucleotide ribosomal RNA is filed under the name uncultured bacterium. Its description in RNAcentral is "partial 16S ribosomal RNA". It matches the Rfam family "Bacterial small subunit ribosomal RNA", at positions 523 to 796 of the family's 1533-position model. The record is from RNAcentral.
AUACGGAGGGAGCAAGCGUUAUUCGGAAUCACUGGGCGUAAAGGACGCGUAGGCGGGUUUGUAAGUCAGGUGUGAAAUCCUACAGCUCAACUGUAGAACUGCACUUGAAACUACAGACCUAGAGUAUGGAAGGGGCAGAUGGAAUUAGUGGUGUAGGGGUAAAAUCCGUAGAUAUCACUAGGAAUACCGAAAGCGAAGGCGAUCUGCUGGGACAUUACUGACGCUGAGGUGUGAAAGCGUGGGGAGCAAACAGGAUUAGAAACCCUAGUAGUCC